GUUAGAAGAGUAAGGAAAAGGAUCUUGUUAUUUCUUUGAUGACGACCGCUGCUCUAUGUAUUCUCGUUUGUGAGGAUACAUCCCAUUUAGACUUAUUAAUACAUUUGAACUUCUUGUAAUCGUGAUUAAAUUAACAUUAAUAAAAUUGAUCGGACUAUUGCAAACCGUAAAUAGCCGCACAUGAAUCGAAAUGGGUACAACUUUUAUUAAAAUAUGAAAUACAGACGCCGAUAUAGUAAAAAAAACACCGAACUCAACCAUGGCGGCUUCUGCCAUGUCCGCUUAUUCUUGACCAACUUGACGAGGCCCGAUGCUUCUGCAACGUCGUUUUAAUCCUAUCAUGUUGCACCUCCUUGCUCUUUCCUUCUGCAUAUAUAGCUCAAACAAUAUUGAAUUAAUACAGAUAGGAAGAAGAGUAACUUAAUUAAUUAAGAAGAGCUUGCAGAUACAUAUGAUGUAGCUAGAAAAUGAUCGAUGAAACUGACCUACAGUAGUGGCCUCUGGAUAUAAUCUGGCUGCAGUUUCCACCGCCGCCGUGCCAUCUCUCGGCGACGAUAAAAGGAUGAGUAGUACUAUAAGCAAAGGAACGAUGCAAUUUCGCAGACAACUACUUGUACAGCUUUGAUUAGCCAUUAUUAUAUUUUCUGCUUAAUUAUUGUCUGCUUUCCUUGAAUGAUAUAUAUACUGGUUGUAAGAAGGAGAAGCAAAU
This 709-nucleotide long non-coding RNA is filed under the name Linum usitatissimum (flax). Its description in RNAcentral is "long non-coding RNA (LUSI_LNC003135)". Lineage: Eukaryota; Viridiplantae; Streptophyta; Magnoliopsida; Malpighiales; Linaceae. The record is from RNAcentral.